This 390-nucleotide unclassified non-coding RNA is filed under the name soil metagenome. RNAcentral describes it as "partial contains 5.8S ribosomal RNA, internal transcribed spacer 2, and large subunit ribosomal RNA". The stretch from base 1 to 122 matches the Rfam family "5.8S ribosomal RNA", at positions 35 to 154 of the family's 154-position model. The record is from RNAcentral.
GAUGAAGAACGCAGUGAAAUGCGAUACUUGGUGUGAAUUGCAGAAUCCCGCGAAUCAUCGAGUUUUUGAACGCAAGUUGCGCCCGAAGCCAUUCGGCCGAGGGCACGUCUGCCUGGGUGUCACGCAUCGUUGCCCCCCCAAACUCCGGUUUGGGCGGGGCGGAAGUUGGCCUCCCGUGCGUGCCUGCGCGCGCGGUUAGCCCAAAAGCGAGUCCUCGGCGACGAGCGCCACGACAAUCGGUGGUUUUUUUACCCUCGUUCCUCGUCGUGCGUGUCCCGUCGCCCGAACGCGCUCUUGUGACCCUCACGCGUCGCCUCAGUGGCGCUCCCAACGCGACCCCAGGUCAGGCGGGACUACCCGCUGAGUUUAAGCAUAUCAAUAAGCGGAGGA